GGGGCCGGGAGGAGCGGGGUGUGCGCUGCCAGGGUCGGGCCGCGGUGCGGGGCGUGGAGGGAUGUCGGGGGAGGAGCUGGCGGUGCUGCGCCACGCAGAGGCGAUGCGUGCGGUGCCAGCGAGUGCGUGGAGCUGAACGAAGAUUGUCGAGGAGCAGAGCGUGAGUGGCUGUGAAAUGCAAUUGGGAAAAUGCUUUCAUGGGAACAGUCUGGAGCUGUGUCUGGAGCUUCUGCGUGGCCAUUGUAAGAUCAGCUUUCUGCACUCUUUAUUUCCGUGGCUGGCGUUGUAGAGCGCAGCAGCAGCAAGGCCGUGAACACGUCCACAACCAGGACUCGGAGGGUUUUGAGUCUAAGACCGGAGACGGUGAGAGCACCC
This is a non-coding RNA of Coturnix japonica (Japanese quail), 375 nucleotides long. The record is from RefSeq and is a predicted model, not a curated record. NCBI's taxonomy places the organism in Eukaryota, Metazoa, Chordata, Aves, Galliformes, Phasianidae.